AUGACCCGGCGUCCCACGGCGGCUCGUCAUCAAGCCUGCAAUGUGGGUCGUAAUUCAAAGCCUAGGAGCCGACUAAAAAAAGAGGCAGGCUCAUGGGUCAGUAUCCAAUAG
Molecule: ribosomal RNA, 111 nt
Filed under: Triticum aestivum (bread wheat)
Lineage: Eukaryota; Viridiplantae; Streptophyta; Magnoliopsida; Poales; Poaceae
Description: partial small subunit ribosomal RNA
Source: RNAcentral